This is a long non-coding RNA of Hordeum vulgare subsp. vulgare (domesticated barley), 747 nucleotides long. RefSeq lists it as uncharacterized. NCBI's taxonomy places the organism in Eukaryota, Viridiplantae, Streptophyta, Magnoliopsida, Poales, Poaceae. The transcript is spliced from 4 exons. The record is from RefSeq and is a predicted model, not a curated record.
CUAAACCUAACGCACGAAACACCCGCCUCCCUACGUACCGCCGUCCUCUCUCUCCCUCUCCCAGAUCCAGAUCGAGGCCCUCGCGUCUCUCCUCUCCCUCCAUCUCCGCUGCAGCCGGCUCCCGCCCAGUCCUCGUCCUCCUCUAUCUCCACAUCCGCUCAGUCCUCGUCCUCCGCUGCGGCCCGCAUGCUGGAGGAAGCUGGCGGCUAGGCCGGCCACAGAGCAGAGGAAGGCUGCGGCACACACACAGGGCAGGGACCACACGCGAUCGGUCAACGUCACCAGCGGGAGGUUUCGUCCUCGGGCUCGACAUGCCGCCUCCUCCCCGCGCGCGUGCACUCCACCCCCACUACCCCCUCCUCUGCCUCCGCCUGCCCGGUCCGGCCCGGCGACGACGACUCCCCCGCGCGGCUCAAGCGAUGAAGCGACAAUCCCUUCUACGUGAGGAAACGAUUUUACAGUACAAGUUGGGCAAUUUCGAGCUGCAAUCCAGAAAAGAUGUUGGCCUUCGUUCAUGUUUCGUCGCAAGGUCCAGGACGAAGAAGUCAGGAGAAGCACAGAGUUCUUGAUCAUUGGAGCUAGUUAUUGUUUUGAUUUUUUAGUUGUGUUACCUGAUGUGAACUAGUUUUGAUUGUAAACCUGAUGCGAACCAUGUUUGAUUGAAAUUUUCCAAGUUUGGAUAUGUUGGAUUGUAUUCAUGAUGUGACAGAGGUUCAAGUUAUAAUGGUUGUUUGACAUAUUUUGUAA